GGAAGAGGGGCUGGCUCUCAGUCCCUGCCUCGUGGGGGGUGCCUCCCCCCCCUGCGAUGGGGGUCCUGAGAGCCGGGGAGGAUGAGGGGCUGGCUCUCAGUCCCCGCCUCGUGGGGGGUGCCUCCCCCCCUGCGAUGGGGGCCCUGAGAGCCAGGGGGGAAGAGGGGCUGGCUCUCAGUCCCUGCCUCGUUGGGGGUGCCUCCCCCCCUGCGAUGGGGGUCCUAAGAGCCUGGGGCGGAAGAGGGGCUGGCUCUCAGUCCGUGCCUGGCGGGGGGUGCCUCCCCCCCUGCGAUGGGGGUCCCGAGAGCCAGCGGGGGAAAAGGGGCUGACUCUCAGCCACCACAACAUGGGGGGCCUUUAUGUUCAGGUUUUGCCCAAGAGUCAGCUGAUUUGCUUCUUGUACUAGCAGGGCAGUUGCUGCCAAGGCCCUCAAACAGGGGAGCCAUCCUUCAGAAACCCUGUCUAGUUGUUCAGAGACGUAGGCCACCGGCCUCAGCCAGGGCCCCACAGUUUGGGUUAAAAGUCCAGCUGCCAUCUUUUCUGUCUAUAACGCAUACAAUGGAAAAGGCUUUGUCAGAUCGGGUAUCCCCAGGGCUGGGGCUGCCAGACAUUUUUCCUUUAACUCAUGAAAGACUUGCUGUUAUUGGGUUCCCCAUUCCAAAGGUUCCGGUCCACGCCCCCUUUGUGACCUCAUACAAAGGCUUGGCUAAUACUGCAAAGUUUGGGAUGAACAGUCUACAAAACCCCACAGCCCCUGAGAAUUCCCUCACCUGCCUUCUGCCCUUAGGCUCCGGUAGAUUGCAAAUGACCUGCUUUCUUUCUGUUCCCGGGCGGCAUCGGACCCGUCGGAGAGUAAAUCCCAAGUAAGGUACCUGCCGUUGGCAGAUUUGAGCUUUCUUCUUGGACACCUAAUACCCACAGUCCUCCAGGUGAGUCCUAAGUAUCUUAGGAUCCGCGAUGGGGGUCCUAAGGCAGGGGGGGAAGAGGGGAUGGCUGUCACCCAACCCAAAAUGGGCGGCCUUUAUGUUCAGGUUUUGCCCAAGAGUCAGCUUAUUUGCUUCUUGUACUAUCAGGGCAGUUGAUGCCACGGCCCUCAAACAGGGGGGCCAUCCUUUAGAAACCCUCUCUAGUUGUUUAGAGACGUAGGACAUUGGCCUCAUCCAGGGCCCCAGAGUUUCGGUUAAAAGUCCAGCUGCCAUCUUUUCUCUAUCUGACGCGUUCAACGGAAAAGGCUUUGUCAGAUCGGGUAGCCCCAGGGCUGGGGCUGCCAGAAGUUUUUCCUUUAACUCAUGAAAGACUUGCUGUUGUUGGGAUCCCUAUUCCAAAGGUUCCCGGUCCCUGCCCCCUUUGUGACCUCAUACAAAGACUUGGCUAAUACUGCAAAGUUUGGGAUGCACAGUCUACAAAACCCCACAGCCCCUGAGAAUUCCCUCACCUGCCUUCUGCCCUUAGGCUCCGGUAGAUUGCAAAUGACCUGCUUUCUUUCUGUUCCCGGGUGGCAUCGACCCGUCGGAGAGUAAAUCCCAAGUAAGGUACCUGCCGUUGGCAGAUUUGAGCUUUCUUCUUGGACACCUAAUACCCACAGUCCUCCAGGUGAGUCCUAAGGAUCUUAGGAUACGCGAUGGGGGUCCUAAGGCAGGGGGGGAAGAGGGGAUGGCUGUCACCCAACCCAAAAUGGGCGGCCUUUAUGUUCAGGUUUUGCCCAAGAGUCAGCUUAUUUGCUUCUUGUACUAUCAGGGCAGUUGAUGCCACGGCCCUCAAACAUGAGGGGCCAUCCUUUAGAAACCCUCUCUAGUUGUUUAGACAACUAGGCCACCGGCCUCAGCCAGGGCCCCAGAGUUUCGGUUAAAAGUCCAGCUGCCAUCUUUUCUCUAUCUGACGCAUUCAAUGGAAAAGGCUUUGUCAGAUCGGGUAGCCCCAGGGCUGGGGCUGCCAGAAGUUUUUCCUUUAACUCCUGAAAGACUUUUUGUUCUUGGGAUCCCCAUUCCAAAGGUUCCGUUCCCCGCCCCCUUUGUGACCUCAUACAAAGGCUUGGCUAAUACUGCAAAGUUUGGGAUCCAGUCUACAAAACCCCACAGCUCCCAAGAAUUCCCUUACCUGCCUUCUGCCCUUAGGCUCCGGUAGAUUGUAAAUAACCUGCUUUCUUUCUGUUCCCGGGCUGCGUUCGGACCCCUGUCGGAUAGUAAAUCCCAAGCAAGGUACCUGCCGUCAGCAGAUUUGAGCUUUCUUCUUGGACACCUAAUACCCACAGUCCUCCAGUAAAUCCCAAGCAAGGUACCUGCCGUCAGCAGAUUUGAGCUUUCUUCUUGGACACCUAAUACCCACAGUCCUCCAAGUGGGUCCUAAGGUUCUUAGGAUCCUUGAUGGGGGUCCUAAGCUGUGGGGGACGGGGGGCUGGCUCUCAGUCCCUGCCUCCCGGGGGGUGCCUCCCCCCCUGCGAUGGGGGCCCUGAGAGCCAGGGGGCAAGAGGGGCUGGCUCUCAGUCCCUGCCUCGUUGGGGGUGUCUCCCCGCCUUCGAUUGGUGUCCUAAGAGCCAGGGGGAGAAGAGGGGCUGGCUCUCAAUCCCUGCAUCGUUAGGGGUGCCUUCCCCCCUGCGAUUGGUGUCCUAAGAGCCAGGGGGGGAAGAGGGGCUGGCUCUCAGUCCCCGCCUCGUAGGGGGUGCCUCCCCCCCUGAGAUGGGGGUCCUAAGAGCCGGGGGCGGAAGAGGGGCUGCCUCUGAGUCCCUGCCUCGUGGGGGGUGCCUCCCCCUCCCCUCCUGCGAUGGUGGUCC
RNAcentral lists this long non-coding RNA (2770 nucleotides) under Homo sapiens (human). RNAcentral describes it as "non-protein coding TPT1-AS1:26". Lineage: Eukaryota; Metazoa; Chordata; Mammalia; Primates; Hominidae. The record is from RNAcentral.